RNAcentral lists this ribosomal RNA (104 nucleotides) under Orobdella naraharaetmagarum. RNAcentral's name for it is "partial 16S ribosomal RNA". Lineage: Eukaryota; Metazoa; Annelida; Clitellata; Hirudinida; Orobdellidae. The record is from RNAcentral.
UUUAUAUUUAUUAUUAAUUAUCUAUAUAAUAUUUAUUAUUAAUAUAAGAAAUCUUAUAAUUAUUAUUAUUAAAUAUAGUACUAGAAAAAUUUAAAUAUUAAAAA